Molecule: ribosomal RNA, 429 nt
Filed under: Gemmatimonadota bacterium
Lineage: Bacteria; Pseudomonadati; Gemmatimonadota
Description: Gemmatimonadetes bacterium partial 16S ribosomal RNA
Rfam family: Bacterial small subunit ribosomal RNA
Source: RNAcentral
UAGGGAAUCUUCGGCAAUGGACGAAAGUCUGACCGAGCAACGCCGCGUGAGUGAAGAAGGUUUUCGGAUCGUAAAACUCUGUUGUUAGAGAAGAACAAGGACGUUAGUAACUGAACGUCCCCUGACGGUAUCUAACCAGAAAGCCACGGCUAACUACGUGCCAGCAGCCGCGGUAAUACGUAGGUGGCAAGCGUUGUCCGGAUUUAUUGGGCGUAAAGCGAGCGCAGGCGGUUUCUUAAGUCUGAUGUGAAAGCCCCCGGCUCAACCGGGGAGGGUCAUUGGAAACUGGGAGAAUUGAGUGCAGAAGAGGAGAGUGGAAUUCCAUGUGUAGCGGUGAAAUGCGUAGAUAUAUGGAGGAACACCAGUGGCGAAGGCGGCUCUCUGGUCUGUAACUGACGCUGAGGCUAGAAAGCGUGGGGAGCAAACAGG